ACAGGAGCUCUUCUAAAGCGAGCAUGGCCGGUCCUGGUUCGACCCAGAAGAGAAAUAACUUUCUUGAAUUUAGAAACGGCAACAUCUGCAGCUGCCUUGCAAUCCAUGUCUAUAUCCAUUGAAGAUCUUGAGGUCGAAGAAGGUGAUGAUGAAGAUUGAAGCUUUUCUUGAUUUUGCUGCGAGAGCAAUCUGAUGAGCUUGUUGACACUCUCGAGACCUGAAGCAGCCUCUUGGACUGCGUUCUC
RNAcentral lists this unclassified non-coding RNA (245 nucleotides) under Hevea brasiliensis (rubber tree). The record is from RNAcentral. Lineage: Eukaryota; Viridiplantae; Streptophyta; Magnoliopsida; Malpighiales; Euphorbiaceae.